This is a long non-coding RNA of Thrips palmi, 375 nucleotides long. RefSeq lists it as uncharacterized. The record is from RefSeq and is a predicted model, not a curated record. The transcript is spliced from 2 exons. NCBI's taxonomy places the organism in Eukaryota, Metazoa, Arthropoda, Insecta, Thysanoptera, Thripidae.
AAAGACAAAUCAACACCGCCGCCAUGCUGAAGCAGGUCCUCUUCGUGCUCGCCGCCGUCCUGGCCGCGUCGUGCGCUCAGUACAUCGCCACGCCGUACCUGGCCACCAGCCCGCUGUACCGCGGCUCCGCCUAUUACAGCACCGGGUACGCCUACCCGUACGCCUACAGCGCAUACAGCGCGCCCCUCGCCUACGCGUCGCCGCUGGCCUACUCCACCUACCUGUACCGCUGAGAUGGGGCCGGCUGCCUUUAAUGCCCGACGCACCCGACCUGACAUCCCGCCGAUCGGCCGCUGCACCCCCAGUUAACUCCGCAUUUACGAGGCGUUUUGUACUUUUGGAAAAAAAAAAAUAAAGUUAACCGUCUUUUCUUUC